GACGAACGCUGGCGGCGUGCUUAACACAUGCAAGUCGAACGGAAAGGCCCUGCUUUUGUGGGGUGCUCGAGUGGCGAACGGGUGAGUAACACGUGAGUAACCUGCCCUUGACUUUGGGAUAACUUCAGGAAACUGGGGCUAAUACCGGAUAGGAGCUCCUGCUGCAUGGUGGGGGUUGGAAAGUUUCGGCGGUUGGGGGUGGACUCGCGGCUUAUCAGCUUGUUGGUGGGGUAGUGGCUUACCAAGGCUGUGACGGGUAGCCGGCCUGAGAGGGUGACCGGCCACAUUGGGACUGAGAUAGGGCCAAGGCUCCUACGGGAGGCAGCAGUGGCGAAUAUUACACAAUGGGCGGAAGCCUGAUGCAGCAACGCCGCGUGCGGGAUGACGGCCUUCGGGUUGUAAACCGCUUUCGCCUGUGACGAGGCGUGAGUGACGGUAAUGGGUAAAGAAGCACCGGCUAACUACGUG
Molecule: ribosomal RNA, 468 nt
Filed under: uncultured bacterium
Lineage: Bacteria
Description: partial 16S ribosomal RNA
Rfam family: Bacterial small subunit ribosomal RNA
Source: RNAcentral